AAGUCGUAACAAGGUUUCCGUAGGUGAACCUGCGGAAGGAUCAUUAAAGUAUAAUAUAGUCUAUUGUAGCUUUGGUUACAGUAGUACUUAUUACUCUGUGAACUUGGAAUAGUGAUACCUAUUGGAACAGUCGUUCCUCUGGUUGAACUAUAAAAUUAUUCUUUUAAUGUCAAUAACUUAUAUUUAAUAUAAAUACAACUUUUAACAAUGGAUCUCUUGGCUCCU
Molecule: unclassified non-coding RNA, 225 nt
Filed under: fungal sp.
Lineage: Eukaryota; Fungi
Description: partial internal transcribed spacer region
Rfam family: Eukaryotic small subunit ribosomal RNA (bases 1-46)
Source: RNAcentral